Hippocampus zosterae (dwarf seahorse) is the source of this 2150-nucleotide long non-coding RNA. RefSeq lists it as uncharacterized. Lineage: Eukaryota; Metazoa; Chordata; Actinopteri; Syngnathiformes; Syngnathidae. The record is from RefSeq and is a predicted model, not a curated record. The transcript is spliced from 2 exons.
CCUAAUUCAAACCACUGGUCCGCAACCAUCACUCCGCAGACCGGCACCGGGCGUCGGCCGGGUUUGGGAGCGGGCGGCACAUCCACCUGCUAGGUGGUCAGCAAAUUUGUUUCACUAGACGUGGUGGAAAUGCGCGUGGCUCGAGCCCACCGGAGUCUCCCUGCUAAGCUUGUUCGUUGAAUUAAACAGAAAUGAAAGAAGCAGCAGUACACAGAGAGGAUUUGUAACAAAGUGACGAAAUGUAUCGUGAAACACGCAGCUACCAGGCGGUCAGGACUUUCCAAGAUGAAGCUAUUUGGACAAGAGAUGCACCUGCAUUGGCGGUAUUUCCGGAGCGAUGUUGAGGAGAAAGCUGUUGUGCGUGCUUUGUCAAGGCAAUACAAGAAACCCGUUGAAUCAUUUGUAGCAAAAAUGCGAGAUGAGUUUGAACACCCGAUCCACGUAAACAUUAGCAGAUAAGUCGCUAAUAACUAGCUGGCAGCCACCAGAUGGAAGCAACAAUCAGCAGUGUCAUUUUUUUGAUCAGUCCCACGACUCGAUAAUAACUUUGUUGUCGGCAGCAGCGCUUUAAAACUGGAAAUUUAAAAACAUUGGCUGUUAUUUCACAUGUAGGAAAAAUUGACUUGAGAAAGAGAGGUCGGCAACAUUUGAUAUCCGGGACAGGGGUCGUUUCAAGCAAUAAAAAGGCUACGCCAUGUGAUUUCCGCGAGCAAAACAGAGAAAUAUGAUCGAAUGCAGAGAGCAUCGCAAAGGCUUCCCCGACAUCAUUCCGACUAAUGCGUUUCUUAAGUGUCAGAUGCAAUUCGACUAUUUGAACCCAGGCACCUUGUCAAGUUUCAGCCGAGAGUCGCGUACGAGCCGUUAAAUUGAGUGCGUGUGAACAUUUAAGAAACGUACACAGUCAAACUGAUAACUUGAUUUGUGAAAAUCAAUAAUGUGUUUAGAAAUGCAGUGAAGUGCGCCUGCACGACGACCCGUCAGCAUUUCCUGUCACUGCCGCCCAAUCUUUAUCUUUGGGAUCGCAACUAGCGAUUUCCUCUAUAUGGCUGAAAGCCUUUGAACUGCUCUCGAUACAACGGAUUCUUUUUUUACCCCCCCCCCCCCAACACACCCCCUUUCUCAAGUCCUUGUUUAUUUAUUUCUUUAUUUCUCGAGCAGGGAGCGGGAUUAAGCCAGAAGCAGCAGCCUCGCUAUCAGCCCAAGAUGUGCUCUUCCAUCCUGCUGCUCCUCUCUGAUAAAGGGGGCUGCUCGGCGAGUGACUCAGGUGCAAGCAGAGCCUCGUAAAAUACAGGUUUUAUUUAUGUUAUUUAUUUAUUUAGGGUCUGUCACACACACAUGCACGACUUACUAUUUGCAAUUAUUGCGUUGUGUGGUUGCAGAAAUUACGAAACGGGGGCUGAAAACCACUCGGUUGUUUUAUGAGCAAUCAGAGCCAUCAGCUAAAAGCCACAAGAAUGAGCUUUUCAAACUGAAUUUAUUCUCCACCAAUUCACCUUCAAAUCAUGUUGAAUCAUUUUUUUUGUGGUGGGGGAGGGGUUCUUGGACUGAGAGAGUUUUUAAUGUGUUUAUUUAUGUGGUACACAGUACUUUCACGACGUUUGGAAUACUCGCAAAAGUAUUCAGCGAGUGUCACUUCUUUCACAUUGAGCGCUGCAACUCACAAUUAUUUUGAUCAUCGAUUAAUCUGUUGCUUAUUUGUCCGUUAAUCAAUUUAUCGGACCGGAAGAACAUGUUUUAAGAUAUCCUUAAUUUGUCCCACAAUGAGGAAAUUUAGGGCGGCCCGGUACUCCAGUGGUUAGCACGUCGGCUUCACAGUGCAGAGGUACCGGGUUCGAUUCCAGCUCCGGCCUCCCUGUGUGGAGUUUGCAUGUUCUCCCCGGGCCUGGGUGGGUUUUCUCCGGGUGCUCCGGUUUCCUCCCGCAUUCCAAAAACAUGCGUGGCAGGCUGAUUGAACACUCUAAAUUGUCCCUAGGUGUGAGUGUGAGUGCGAAUGGUUGUUCGUUUCUGUGUGCCCUGCGAUUGGCUGGCAACCGAUUCAGGGUGUCCCCCGCCUACUGCCCGAAGACGGCUGGGAUAGGCUCCAGCACCCCCCGCGACCCUAGUGAGGAUCAAGCGGCUCGGAAGAUGAAUGAAUGAAUGAAUAUUUUUUU